GUGCUUGCUUCGGCAGCACGUCCGAUAAAAUCAGAAGGAUACAGAGAGAAGUAGCAUGCGCCCGUGCAAGCAUGAUGAAGCAUUCUGUGUUUUU
RNAcentral lists this small nuclear RNA (94 nucleotides) under Mustela putorius furo (domestic ferret). Lineage: Eukaryota; Metazoa; Chordata; Mammalia; Carnivora; Mustelidae. The record is from RNAcentral.